AUGCUGACGGAGAAGCCCAGCUGGGUUCGCCAUGACGGCCUGCAGAUCUUCUCCAUCGACAUCCAGCCCAGCGGCCUCCGCUUCGCCACGGGAGGUGGCGACCAGAAGGUUCGCAUAUGGAACAUGAAAUCCGUGAGCAAAGACAACCAAAAUGAUGAUUCCAACCAAAGAUUGCUGGCCACAAUGCGUGACCAUUUUGGAUCAGUAAACUGUGUGAGAUGGGCCAAGCAUGGACGCUAUCUUGCUUCAGGAUCAGACGAUCAAGCUAUCCUAAUUCAUGAAAGGAAAGCUGGUUCCGGUACAUCUGAGUUUGGAAGUGGAGAACCUGCAGAUAUAGAAAAUUGGAAGGUCGUUAUGACCUUAAGGGGGCAUACUGCGGACGUGGUAGAUCUAAAUUGGUCCCCUGAUGACUCGACGUUGGCUAGCGGCAGCUUGGACAAUACUGUUCACAUUUGGAGCAUGACAAACGGUAUUUGCACUGCCGUCUUGCGGGGGCAUUCCAGCUUAGUUAAAGGAGUUACUUGGGAUCCUAUUGGAUCUUUUAUUGCAAGCCAGUCAGAUGACAAGACUGUUAUCAUAUGGCGUACGAGUGACUGGAGUCUUGCUCACAAGACUGAAGGCCAUUGGUCAAAAUCUCUUGGUUCGACAUUUUUUAGGCGGCUUGCUUGGUCGCCCUGUGGCCACUUCAUAACCACAACUCAUGGUUUCCAGAAACCUAGGCACUCGGCCCCUGUGCUUGAACGGGGCGAGUGGACUGCAACUUUUGACUUUCUGGGACAUAAUGCGCCUGUGGUGGUGGUGAAGUUUAAUCACUCGAUGUUCCGUAAGAAUUUAGCUACUGGUCAAGAUGCAAAGACGGCACCAGCUGGAUGGGCCAAUGGAGCAUCAAAAACAUCAGCAAAAGAAUAUCAACCAUAUAAUGUUAUUGCUAUUGGAAGUCAAGACCGGACUAUUACUGUUUGGACAACAGCAGGUGCCCGGCCAUUGUUUGUUGCUAAGCAUUUCUUCACUCAAAGCGUGGUUGAUUUAUCUUGGAGCCCUGAUGGUUAUUCACUUUUUGCGUGCUCUCUGGAUGGAUCAGUUGCGACCUUUCACUUUGAAGCAAAGGAGCUCGGAUACAGGCUUAGUGAUUCUGAACUGGAUGAAUUAAAGAGGAGUAGAUAUGGUGAUGUCAGAGGGAGGCAAUCAAAUCUAGCUGAAAGCCCUGCGCAGUUGCUGCUAGAAGAAGCAUCAGUGAAGCAAUUGGCUGCCAAGAAGGCGACACCUAUCGUCCAACAAUAUCAGGCGCCCCCAAAAGUUCCUGCAGAUGUACCUAAACCACCUCCUGUUGUGGUUGUGGAGAGUCAGAAAGCUCCUGAAACUCUACCUGAAGGCGAAAAGAAAACAGCAGGUCAAGCGGCUGAUGACACCUCGAAAGUUACCCGGGUAUCUAGUCCAGUAAAACAAAGGGAAUAUCGGCGUCCUGAUGGUCGGAAAAGAAUAAUUCCAGAGGCAGUGGGAUUUCCUUCUAACCAGGAAAACUUGUCCAACCGUCCUCAGAAUCAAGUUGUUGAUUUUUCAUCCUUAGAUCAGCGCAUGCGCCCUGGGGAGAAUGGAAUAAGAUCAUCCUACGGUACCGGUAACUGUAACAAUUGUGGAGUUAGGGAACGCUCUGGCAUCACAGCAAGAGCUAACAUUAGCGAGAGUCUUGUUAUUCAAAAAGCUUCAACUGGUACUGGCAGGGAUGGAAGGUUGAGUGUUGAACACACUGGUUCUGUUGUUCCAGGCUUGCUGGCCUCCUCCUCUGAGCUCUCUAUUUUUGUAUUCAAUAAGAAGGACAAUGAUGAUUCUUUGCCAGUCUGCCUUGAAGCCAAGCCAGUAGAACGUUCUGCAGGUGAUAUGAUUGGACUGGGUGGUUCCUUUUCAACAAAAGAAACCGAGAUUAGAUGUACAAAAGGAACAGAAACUCUUUGGUCAGAUCGCAUCUCCGGAAAAGUUACUGUCUUGGCUGGUAAUGCAAACUUCUGGGCAGUUGGCUGUGAAGAUGGCUGCCUGCAGGUUUACACAAAAUGUGGGAUGCGAGCAAUGCCAGCGAUGAUGAUGGGCUCCUCGGCUGUUUUUAUAGAUUGUGAUGACUGCUGGAAAUUGUUACUUGUAACAAGGAGAGGUUUAAUGUACAUAUGGGAUCUCAAUAACAGGACCUGCAUCUUGCAAGAUUCUUUGGCUUCUUUGGUUACCUCUCCAGAUGAGGCCUCAACAAAAGAUUCUGGUACAGUAAAGGUUAUAUCUGCUAAGUUCUCAAGAUGUGGUUCGCCCUUGGUUGUCCUUGCCACCCGGCAUGCUUUCCUCUACGACAUGAGCAUGAAGUGCUGGCUAAGGAUUGCGGAUGAUUGUUUUCCAGCAUCAAAUUUUUCUAGCUCGUUUAGUUCUACUCAAGGUGGAGAGCUAGGAAAGUUGCAGAUUGAUAUAGGAAAGUUCAUGGCUAGAAAGCCCGUUUGGAGCAGGGUUACAGACGAUGGAGUGCAGACGCGGGCCCAUCUUGAGACCCAGCUAGCAGCUUCGUUGGCUUUGAAGUCUUCACAGGAAUAUCGCCAAUGCCUCCUAUCCUACAUUAGGUUUUUGGCAAGAGAGGCAGAUGAAUCUCGCCUACGUGAAGUCUGCGAGAGCUUUCUUGGCCCUCCCAUGGGCAUGGUUGGUGAUGUGUCUACCGAUGCGAAUAAUCCGUCAUGGGAUCCUGAUGUUCUUGGAAUGAAGAAACAUAAACUUCUCAGGGAAGACAUACUUCCUUCGAUGGCGACAAACCGCAAAGUCCAGCGGCUGCUCAACGAGUUCAUGGACCUGCUGUCGGAGUACGAAAGCGUCGCCGAGGAAAACGUCGACAAAAUGGACGUGACACCUCCAGCAGCAGAAGCCAAGGUCGAUAAAAUGGACGUGACACCUCCAGCAGCAGAUGCCAAGGUCGAUAAAAUGGACGUGACACCGACAGAAGCCAAGGACACCGCGGCAUAG
Molecule: ribosomal RNA, 2988 nt
Filed under: Triticum aestivum (bread wheat)
Lineage: Eukaryota; Viridiplantae; Streptophyta; Magnoliopsida; Poales; Poaceae
Description: partial small subunit ribosomal RNA
Source: RNAcentral